GAUAAAGAAUUUCAUAAAAGCCUGGUACGAUCGUGGAUUACCCAGAUUACGCUUCGAGGAUUAUGGCAUAAUGUUCCCAAGAGUUCCAAAACAAAAUGACGGCAUGACUGCGGGAUCUUCGUGAUGAAAUUCAUGGAGCUGUGGGACCCAAGGAACCAACCAUCGUGUGCAUUUUCUAAAGACGAUAUACCAAGCAUAAGAAUCAAAAUAUGCAACGAUCUGAUGUUCUCAAACUUCAACAUAGAAGAGGAUGCAAAGAAUUUUGCCUGGAAUUACGUCCCAUCAAUGUACAUCCCAGGGAGCAAAUGAGAAGUAUGGACACUUGAAGAUCUUUUAGCAGGCCAUAGCACAACAGUUUAGAAGCAGAUAGAGAGUUCGGUUUUUUCUUUGUGUCUUUUUUUUAGGGCUACACCUGUUACAUACUAAUGUACGCACGGAUCUGAACAAGUUUAGUCCUCUCUUUUUUUGUUUUUUGGGAUGACCAGCACGACUGUGUUUUUUGUUUGUUUUUUCUUUCUUCAUUUUUUUUGGGAUGACAGAAGUGUAAGAAGUUUAGUUUGAAGACAGCUUUUUAAAAAAAUAAAUAAAGCGCAUCUCUUUCUAAA
Molecule: long non-coding RNA, 605 nt
Organism: Brachypodium distachyon (stiff brome)
Lineage: Eukaryota; Viridiplantae; Streptophyta; Magnoliopsida; Poales; Poaceae
Exons: 3
Source: RefSeq, a predicted model, not a curated record